Oncorhynchus tshawytscha (Chinook salmon) is the source of this 401-nucleotide long non-coding RNA. Lineage: Eukaryota; Metazoa; Chordata; Actinopteri; Salmoniformes; Salmonidae. The record is from Ensembl.
GUGUGUAUAGGGUGUGUGUAUAGGGUGUGUAUAUAGGGUGUGUGUAUAAGGUGUGUGUAUUGGGUGUGUAUAUAGGGUGUGUGUAUAGGGUGUGUGUAUAGGGUGUGUGUAUAGGGUGUGUAUAGGGUGUGUGUAUAGGGUGUGUGUAUUGGGUGUGUAUAUAGGGUGUGUGUAUAGGGUGUGUGUAUAGGGUGUGUAUAUAGGGUGUGUGUAUAGGGUGUGUGUAUAGGGUGUGUAUAUAGGGUGUGUGUAUAAGGUGUGUGUAUUGGGUGUGUAUAUAGGGUGUGUGUAUAGGGUGUGUGUAUAGGGUGUGUAUAUAGGGUGUGUGUAUAGGGUGUGUGUAUAGGGUGUGUAUAUAGGGUGUGUGUAUAGGGUGUGUGUAUAGGGUGUGUGUAUAGGGU